This 56-nucleotide transfer RNA is filed under the name Heterocephalus glaber (naked mole-rat). It matches the Rfam family "tRNA", at positions 9 to 63 of the family's 71-position model. Rfam says of the family: Transfer RNA (tRNA) molecules are approximately 80 nucleotides in length. The record is from Rfam by way of RNAcentral. Lineage: Eukaryota; Metazoa; Chordata; Mammalia; Rodentia; Bathyergidae.
AGCACAGUGGUAGAGCACUUGCCUAGCAUGCAUGAAGCCCUGGGUUCAACCCCCAG